This 494-nucleotide ribosomal RNA is filed under the name uncultured bacterium. RNAcentral describes it as "partial 16S ribosomal RNA". It matches the Rfam family "Bacterial small subunit ribosomal RNA", at positions 28 to 507 of the family's 1533-position model. The record is from RNAcentral.
GACGAACGCUGGCGGCGUGCUUAACACAUGCCAGUCGAACGGAAAGGCCUGCUUUCCCUUGUGGAUUGCGGGUACUCGAGUGGCGAACGGGUGAGUAACACGUGAGUGAUCUGCCCCCAACUUGGGUAUAAGCCUGGGAAACUGGGUCUAAUUCCCGAUAGGACUGCAGGGUGGUGCCUGUGGUGGAAAACGAUUUUCUAGUGGUUGGGGAUGAGCUCGCGGCCUAUCAGCUUGUUGGUGGGGUAAUGGCCUACCAAGGCGGCGACGGGUAGCCGGCCUGGGAGGGUGGACGGCCACAUUGGGACUGAGAUACGGCCCAGACUCCUACGGGAGGCAGCAGUGGGGAAUAUUGCACAAGGGGCGGAAGCCUGAUGCAGCGACGCCGCGUGGGGGAUGACGGCCUUCGGGUUGUAAACUCCUUUCGACCGCGAGGAAGCCACCUGGUUGGAAGGGUGGUGACGGUAGUGGUAGAAGAAGCACCGGCUAACUACGUG